UAUAAAACCGUGAUGAGAAAAGUAAUUAAUGGAUGAAUUCUUAGAGAGCCUUGUUUUGGUGUAAAAAGGCAAUUCACAAAUUAAUGAACAUGGCCUCGGAGUUUUAGUGAUUGAACGACUAGUUUUGUCUUUAAAUCCUACAGGGUUCGCCUGUUAUAGCGAUAGAGUCUCUUGCUAACUUAAGCACGGUACUUGAAGAGGUUUAUUUUGUGAAAAAUAAACAAAUAAAAGGUGGUAACACGACUCGAUAUCUAUCGCGCUCGUCCUUUAU
Regulatory RNA element from Carnobacterium maltaromaticum LMA28, 271 nucleotides. It matches the Rfam family "T-box leader". Rfam says of the family: Uncharged tRNA acts as the effector for transcription antitermination of genes in the T-box leader family. T-boxes are found upstream of many aminoacyl-tRNA synthetase genes and some amino acid biosynthetic genes usually in Gram-positive bacteria. The record is from Rfam. NCBI's taxonomy places the organism in Bacteria, Bacillati, Bacillota, Bacilli, Lactobacillales, Carnobacteriaceae.